AAAUUGAAGAGUUUGAUCAUGGCUCAGAUUGAACGCUGGCGGCAGGCCUAACACAUGCAAGUCGAACGGUAACAGGAAGCAGCUUGCUGCUUUGCUGACGAGUGGCGGACGGGUGAGUAAUGUCUGGGAAACUGCCUGAUGGAGGGUGAUAACUACUGGAAACGGUAGAUAAUACCGCAUAACGUCGCAAGACCAAAGAGGGGGACCUGCGGGCCUCUUGCCAUCGGAUGUGCCCAGAUGGGAUUAGCUAGUAGGUGGGGUAACGGCUCACCUAGG
RNAcentral lists this ribosomal RNA (276 nucleotides) under Xanthobacter autotrophicus. Its description in RNAcentral is "partial 16S ribosomal RNA". It matches the Rfam family "Bacterial small subunit ribosomal RNA", at positions 1 to 273 of the family's 1533-position model. Lineage: Bacteria; Pseudomonadati; Pseudomonadota; Alphaproteobacteria; Hyphomicrobiales; Xanthobacteraceae. The record is from RNAcentral.